Peromyscus maniculatus bairdii (prairie deer mouse) is the source of this 1254-nucleotide long non-coding RNA. RefSeq lists it as uncharacterized. The record is from RefSeq and is a predicted model, not a curated record. NCBI's taxonomy places the organism in Eukaryota, Metazoa, Chordata, Mammalia, Rodentia, Cricetidae.
UUAGUCUCUGUGACAGUGAGUAAUGACUUUGCAGAGAAAUUUGAAAUCUCUUCCACUACUAACAUAACUCUUUGAAGAGAAGUGUGAGGAAGUCUUAAUAUAUGGGCUGCAUAUACCUUAUAAUCUCACAUCACGCUACCAGCUAAGUUAGACAACACUUUGUGUGUGUGUGCAAGAACAAUAAGUAGGAAACAUCAUUAUAGCAUUUUUAAUAGGACUUUCCAAAAAAUAAAAAUAAUAUGUAUUUGAAUAGUUCCAUAAAUAAUUCUGGUGCAUUCUUGAUAGAAAUAUUACAGAGCACCAAAAAGGAAUUGCUUACUUCAUCAACAGUGCAUCCAUCAGAACUCUAGGUGGAAAUAAAUGCCAUGCCUUAAUUGGGUAAUAUGAGUUCAGGACAGGAAAGAAAGUACUUACAAAGUAGGGCAUAUGAGCAUAGUAAGGCCAAUGAGAGCAUAGAUUAACUUUUCUUUACAAUAGAGGGGACUGAGGGUGAAAAUAAUUGCUGACACUGAAUGUGGGCAACUGUGAGCAGAGAACCUUCUCACUGUGCUUGUGGCUUCUAACCUUGGAGAUGAGUUACCCCAAGGAAACUAGACAGGAGGAGGAGGUAAGAUAAAUUGUCCUACCUCACCCCUUCCUCCAGUUAUCUGUCCUAAAUAUCACAGCCUUUCCUCAAGGGUGAAAAGAUAAGAUACAUUCGUCCAGUGAUUCCAGUGAGCAGAGAAGAUAUGUGGAGAGAAGGUGAGAAGAAAAUCAUGGCUCAGAACAAUUCCAGGGCAGGAGGAUCCUGGCAGCCAAGUGAAAUGCACUUCCAAUGGGUCAUCAGCUGUGUCCUCAGGAUGAUGAUUUCAGCAUUUUAAAACUCUUUUCAAACUGGGAUGAAAUGUUACAAGAACAGUGCAAUGAAUGCCUGCAUGGGAGUCCAGUCUGCAGAUUCUUGAAAUCUACAAGAGUAAACCUAGCAAAGUCUCCUAGUAAUGGGGGAUAUGGAGCCUGAAACGGCCAUCUUUUGUCACCAGGGAAGGCUUCAAGGAGGGAUUAUGGCACGAACACAUCCAUAAAACAUUCAACCUACAGUUUGUCCUGCCUGCAGAGUGUUCUGGGACUGAAGUCUAGCAGAAUCAUCAAAGUGAACAGAGAGACUUCACCCAGCAACUGAUGGGAGCAUAUAUGUUAUGGCUGAGUAGCUUGGUGUUCCCAUGGGAUUCUUUCUUUUUAAAAAAAUCUUUAUUAUUAUUAUUAUUAUUAUUUAUU